Molecule: long non-coding RNA, 1783 nt
Filed under: Homo sapiens (human)
Lineage: Eukaryota; Metazoa; Chordata; Mammalia; Primates; Hominidae
Description: HSALNT0282142
Source: RNAcentral
GACGUGGCCAAGCUAUCAAAAAACUGCAGCCUGUGGAGAAGUAGCAAGUAGGAGGGAGGUCAGGAGUGGGUGGCUAAAACCACCACAAGAUUUGAGAACGCAGAUGUAUUUAACUGGAAGGAGAAAAGGAAAGCACAGAGGUACCUGUCUGUUGUCUGAUUUGUGGGUAAGAAAAGUCCAUCAUGUGGAAACUGGACAGAGGCCUUAAGCAGAGAAGGAUCUUAAGAAGAACUGCAACAGUGACCUGGCUGGGUCUUUAAGGGGGAAAUCACCCUAUCCAAUGGGUACAAUACAUUCCGGUGAUUAAAAAUACAUUCCAUUUCCUCUACGUGCAAAUUCAAUCUGUCGAACUGGAUGACAGCACCAUAAAGCCGCUGAAAUUCUGAAACCCAACCUGCUAAACAUCCUGAACAGACAUUCUCCAAAGAAAACUGAAGAAAAAUGUAUGUAUCCUUUUGAGAUGUGGAAACAUCUUAAAAUUACUUAAGAACGAUUUCAAAAUAACCCCCUAAUAAACUGCUUAAUGUGAACAGCAUUUCAAAUUCUCAGCCUAGUUUUAAAUUUCCACCUUUGUUGUAAAUGGAACCCAAAUAAGAAUUUCCUUGUGCUCUUAAGAAUACUAUAGGGUUUAAGAUCUACUGCAAGAUCCCUCUAGCAGACAUUGGCAUAAACCCUUGAAAACUGUGGGUUGUAUCUUUAAAAGGUGUCAAAGGAAAAGCAGAUGAAAUGCUGUAAUCUCCACCCACUGUCACUUAAGACUUACUGCCCACGCACUCCACAGUCCCAGCCAGCAUCCUGCAUCCACCCUUUUUUUUCAAGCCCACUGCAUUAGACCAUGGAAACUCAGGAUGUGUGGCCACAACGGCCCCUGCUCUGGAUCCAGCUGGCCCACCACGUGGCGUGGCCGUGACCUUAGUCACACUUCCCCCUGACAUCCUGUGAGUGGGCUCAAGCUGGAGCCAGACCUUCCCACCGUGCUGCCCGCCCUGCUCCUGGAAAUGACAAAACCCGGCUCCCUAAAACAUUCCAUUCUCCACUUACACCAACAGAGCUUCCUGCUCCCCACCCCUCCUGAACAACAGGUCUUUGAAUAUCAUUCACCACCCUGGUAACACCUUUAACCAUUUGGCCAUUAGCUACUAAGGGAGGCAUGCACAACUUCACUUCGGAUUUUCAUAGAAGCCUGUUCUCUUGAUUUUCACUAAGUUUUUUAAACUAUUAUCACAAGAAUCACUUCUACGGGAUUUAUAAGCAUAUGCAACAUUCAAAAUCGAAAACGUGGCACUGCAAAAUCUGCACAACAAAGCUCUUCAUGAGAGAAGUAUCUCUUAAUUUAGUGGAGAGAGUAUCUGCUGGAUUCAGAUUUACAUAAGCAUUAUCUUCUUGGUCCUCUUCUAAGCUGGACUAAAAGGAUUUCAGAAAUCUUCGACUUACUAUGUAUAACUCUCAUCUUUGAAAAAGAACUUGCAUUUUAAUAAAAAGGUUAAUGAGAAAAAAAUACUCCCAAUUUAGUUUUAGCUGUAGAGUCAAGAAGCAAGUUUUUGUUUCAUCAGAUGGUAAAGGUAAUGCUUUUAACUGGCAGCACUAACCCCACCUUCCUCCUAAGAGGUGUCUGUGGAUCCUAAGGAUGGUUUUUCAAGCAAAGAGGUAAAGUUGGGUAGAGUGACACUAAGGGGGCAAUUAAGGCACCCAUUGUUUAGAGUCAUACUAUUCUCCAUAUUCAAAAUCAAACAGAGGUUCCAGUUCUACGUAGGAUAGAUAGUCAGCACACUCCACCCUGUUU